Molecule: ribosomal RNA, 253 nt
Filed under: uncultured bacterium
Lineage: Bacteria
Description: partial 16S ribosomal RNA
Rfam family: Bacterial small subunit ribosomal RNA
Source: RNAcentral
UACGUAGGGUGCAAGCGUUACUCGGAAUUACUGGGCGUAAAGCGUGCGCAGGCGGUUAUGUAAGACAGUUGUGAAAUCCCCGGGCUCAACCUGGGAACUGCAUCUGUGACUGCAUAGCUAGAGUACGGUAGAGGGGGAUGGAAUUCCGCGUGUAGCAGUGAAAUGCGUAGAUAUGCGGAGGAACACCGAUGGCGAAGGCAAUCCCCUGGACCUGUACUGACGCUCAUGCACGAAAGCGUGGGGAGCAAACAGG